GUCUUUUUGAGUUAUUUUUAAAGUCUGACCUGCCCACUGAAUUUUUAAAUGGCCGCAGUAUUCUAACUGUGCAAAGGUAGCAUAAUCAUUAGUCUUUUAAUUGAAGGCUGGUAUGAACGGUUGGACGAGGUAUAAGCUGUUUCAUAUAAAUUUAUAAUAGAAUUUUAUAUUUUAGUCAAAAAGCUAAAAUGUAAUUAAAAGACGAGAAGACCCUAUAAAUCUUUAUAUUUUAUAUAGUUUAAAUUUUUUAGAUUUAUUUUAUUUUUAUUAUAUUGAAUAUUUUGUUGGGGUGAUAUUAAAAUUUAAUAAACUUUUAAUUGUAUUUAAAUCAUUAAUUUAUGAAUUGUUGAUCCAUUAAUAGUGAUUAUAAGAUUAAGUUACUUUAGGGAUAACAGCGUAAUUUUUUUGGAGAGUUCAUAUCGAUAAAAAAGUUUGCGACCUCGAUGUUGGAUUAAGAUAUAAUUUUAGGUGUAGCCGCUUAAAUGUUAAGUCUGUUCGACUUUUAAAUUCUU
RNAcentral lists this ribosomal RNA (512 nucleotides) under Dacus demmerezi. RNAcentral describes it as "partial 16S ribosomal RNA". The stretch from base 388 to 512 matches the Rfam family "Bacterial large subunit ribosomal RNA", at positions 2473 to 2597 of the family's 2925-position model. The record is from RNAcentral. Lineage: Eukaryota; Metazoa; Arthropoda; Insecta; Diptera; Tephritidae.